CCUGGAAAUGUGCCCGAACAAUUAAGGGAUACUUUGAUAGAGUACACCACAGGGGUUCAAAUCCCCUCAUUUCC
This 74-nucleotide transfer RNA is filed under the name Brachymeles apus. RNAcentral describes it as "tRNA-Xle". It matches the Rfam family "tRNA". From Rfam's summary of the family: Transfer RNA (tRNA) molecules are approximately 80 nucleotides in length. Their secondary structure includes four short double-helical elements and three loops (D, anti-codon, and T loops). The record is from RNAcentral. Lineage: Eukaryota; Metazoa; Chordata; Lepidosauria; Squamata; Scincidae.